ACUGCGCUGUGGUAGGUCUGGAGGACUCUCUGAAGGGCCAUGUUCCUUUGGCGCUGUGUGUACUUAAAAAAGAUGUGCAGAAAACUGAGGAAGAAAUCACAAAGGAGGUGGUGAAGCUGGUGAGAGACACCAUUGGACCUGUAGCUGCCUUCAGGAAUGUGCUCUUCGUCCACGGGAUACCGAAGACGCGUUCCGGAAAAAUCCCCCGCUCUUCUCUGGCCGCCCUGGUCAACGGCAAACCCUACAAGAUUACGCCAACCAUUGAGGACCCAGAUGUGUUUAAAGACAUUGAGAGGCAAGUAGAAAAGGUCUGGAGACGACAUGCAGAUUGAACACAUCGGAGGCUUGAGAACCACGUUACUCCGUCUGCAUGGUGUAGCUAAAGCAAUCAGAAUAUUUUAGAGAAAUGAUUUCAGUAAGAACCCCAACUAAUAUGACUGAUGAGCCUUAAUAUACUUAACAGUGUGUGCUUUUAGGCAUUUGGCUCUUUUAAUAAUACUUGAACAUUCAUCCUGCUUAUCCCUCAGAGCUUCAUUAGUUGCUAUUUGGAACGUUUUAGUUGUAAAGCAGAUAAAUCUCAUGGACGCAACAACCUCUGAAAUGAGACUAAAUUUAAACACACUUUUUCAGGAUUGGUCUAGAUUUAAUUGGAUGUACUCACUUUGUUAUUGAACAUAUUUUUUAAACAGUUAACAUAAGGACCCAAUGAGCUUUAUUACAUGUCAGACAUGUUGAAUGUUACUGUACAAAAGUCAGUCUAAUAUUUCCUGGUAUGCAAAAAAAACAUUAGUUAUAUUAGUUGGGAUUCUUUAAGUAACUGUAGUCUAAUCUUACGUCAGUGACAUUUUGUAUGUAAAACCGUACUGCACUAAUCUUUGUAAAUUUAUACUUUUAAUGAAAACUAAUGCAAACAGCUCA
Molecule: long non-coding RNA, 918 nt
Organism: Xiphophorus couchianus (Monterrey platyfish)
Lineage: Eukaryota; Metazoa; Chordata; Actinopteri; Cyprinodontiformes; Poeciliidae
Exons: 3
Source: RefSeq, a predicted model, not a curated record